GCGGACUUGAGGGACAGCAGCGACAGGCCAUCGGGGUUCAAGGAAACGAUGCACAGACAAAGAUUUAGUACGAGGAAUGCCGACAAACGCAAAUUCCUGAGCAACAUUCUUCAAUCAGAGAGAGAAAUCAGUCACUUUUUUCUUCGCUAACGAACAAAAAGCAGCUCUUUCAAGACCAGAAAAGAAACGCAAAAGCACCAUUUUCUUUGGGGUUCAAGAAUCGAUUUUUAUGGGAGCCCUUUUCUCGUCUGGCGCUCAAUUUUGAGAAUUGUAACUUUCAAGAAGCGAAAAAGCGCAGCUUUAGCUGGCCUCGCUUGCAACGAAUAUUUAACUGUGUGGGAAAAAAGAGAGGAUGAAAUCGAAAUGGAGUUGGCGACGAGGGAGUUGAGGAAUUUAUGAGAAAAAGACUUGAGUAGGAGACGGGUGCCUGUUGCUCGGACCCACUCCGCGCCCAAACACAGAGGGCUUCUUUUUCUCUCUCAUCAUCAAAGGAGAGAGAGACAAAAGAAGGAGAAGAAGUAGAAGAAAAGCAACAAGCCUUU
RNAcentral lists this long non-coding RNA (542 nucleotides) under Salvia miltiorrhiza (redroot sage). Its description in RNAcentral is "long non-coding RNA (SMIL_LNC003634)". Lineage: Eukaryota; Viridiplantae; Streptophyta; Magnoliopsida; Lamiales; Lamiaceae. The record is from RNAcentral.